This is a long non-coding RNA of Cyprinus carpio carpio, 1250 nucleotides long. Lineage: Eukaryota; Metazoa; Chordata; Actinopteri; Cypriniformes; Cyprinidae. The record is from Ensembl.
AUGUUACACAACAUCAGAACACAGCUCUUUGUAAGUGACUUGGUUUCAAACGCAUUGUUUCACUUACAGUACCCCCACCCCAGAAUCCCAAAAGGAAGUUCAAAAGGAGUGAUUCCCUCUUACGAAACCACAUCUCAUUGCCAGCUUUUCCUCAAUGAGAGCAAAGUAUUUCAAGUCCUACUAAAGAAGAGGUGGUUGUGUUCCACCGAGGGAAGAUUACAUAUCACGAUUUUCCUACAUUUUAGGGAACUCUUUACUGUAGCUGUCAAAGUGGUAUCAUCCCAAGUCAAGAAACACACCAGUGAAGAAUUACAGCUGUGGGGUGUAGGACAAGUGGAUCACUCAGACUAAACAGACAUGAAGGAAAUAAACGUCAGUCCGUCUGUCAUCUGCAGGUUGAAACGCACUGAAGGUAAGUUCUGCUUGAUGGUACACUGUUGUCAGCAUGCAUGUUUGAGGUUCUGUCACAUACCACCACCACACAUCCCUCAUAAAUACAUCAAAGUCAUCAAAGCUCAGCACAAUUGAUGUGGGAUGAAAAAUAUACAGCUUUCUGAGACUGUUACAACCUGGAAACUAAUACAGUUGAUGGGAUCCGGCUAGAUAAAAUGUUCUAAUUCAUUUAAUAUUUUUUUCAGAAAUGUUAGAAUUAUUAUUAUUUUAUUUUUAUUUUUGACUGAUUAGGAAACCGUGAGUUCUAAAGGUAUGUUUGUAGUACAUCAAGUACUAUUGAUAUGGAAGUAGAUUGAUUUAAUUGUUACAUGUACUUACUAUUAUAAUAACAAUAAAUUAUGCAUAAUUACAUGCAAGUAACCCUAAGACAAACCCUAAUCCUAACCCUAACCAUACAGUAAGUACAUGCAGUCAAUUAAUAUUGCUCAGUACUUAAAUGUAUAAUUACAAUGUAACAAUAGUUACACUAUAAGGGGAAAACAAUGAAAAAGGUACUUGAAAUGUUAAUUUUCUGCCAGGACUUUUUCUCAAUUAUUCAUAUCCAUUAUUCAUAGUUUAAUUAUGUCUCUCUCUAAAACACAAUUAAAGCAUAAUUCAAAAUACAGGUUGGGAAAUGAAUGAAUGAAUGAAUGAAUGAAUGAAUGAAUGAAUGAAUAAUUAAUUAAAUACAAAUUAUUAUAUGUUUAUUUAUUUACUUAUUUACUUAUUUAAAACUAGAUUGACCAGAUUAUUUGUGGAUUUGUCAAAAAUUGUGAAAUAUGGUUACACAGAUGCUGUGUUGUCACAACAGUUCUCCA